CUUUGUUUGGAGAGGUGAGUUUCAGCACCAAAAACACCUCAUAUUCCGACGUGGUAUCUAUUACAUUACAUUCAUACUCAUCAUCAUAGGGCAGGUUAUCAUAUUCUGAUGUAGCAUCAAUUACAUUCAUACUCAUCAUUAUUCAUGAUAAUUUGUAAUUAUAGCAACAUCAGAAUUAAUUUUAAAAUGCAUAGAGACGUGCUCACUUACACAACAACAUGUUUCAUUACACAUAAGUCACCAAGUUGAUCAGGAGAAACAGCAGGAGGUAGAGUGGGAGGUGCUGGGAGUAGGAGAGGGACUCCAUGGUGUUGAUCAGGAGAAACAGCAGGAUGUAGAGUGGGAGGUGCUGGGAGUAGGAGAGGGACUCCAUGGUGUUGAUCAGGAGAAACAGCAGGAGGUAGAGUGGGGAGGUGCAGGGAGUAGGAGAGGGACUCCAUGGUGUUGAUCAGGAGAAACAGCAGGAGGUAGAGUGGGGAGGUGCAGGGAGUAGGAGAGGGACUCCAUGGUGUUGAUCAGGAAGAAACAGCAGGAUGUAGAGUGGGAGGUGCUGGGAGUAGGAGAGGGACUCCAUGGUGUUGAUCAGGAAGAAACAGCAGGAUGUAGAGUGGGGAGGUGCUGGGAGUAGGAGAGGGACUCCAUGGUGUUGAUCAGGAAGAAACAGCAGGAGGUAGAGUGGGAGGUGCUGGGAGUAGGAGAUGGACUCCAUGGUGUUGAUCAGGAAGAAACAGCAGGAGGUAGAGUAGGGAGCUGCUGGGAGUAGGAGAUGGACUCCAUGGUGUUGAAGAGGGGAGAGGUGCUGGGAGUAGGAGAGGAACUCCAUGGUGUUGAUCAGGAAGAAACAGCAGGAGGUAG
Non-coding RNA from Oncorhynchus mykiss (rainbow trout), 855 nucleotides. Lineage: Eukaryota; Metazoa; Chordata; Actinopteri; Salmoniformes; Salmonidae. The record is from RefSeq and is a predicted model, not a curated record.